UAGUUUCCUGCCUGUUUAUCAAAGACAUGGUUUUAAUGAAUUAAAAUGUAGAAUCUGACCUGCUCAGUGUAAAAAGAUAUAUACCCGCGGUAUGUUGACUGUGCGAAGGUAGUAUAAAUUAAGACUAUUAAUUGUAGUCUUGAAUGAAGGGUUUGACGAGGAAACUACUGUCUUAUUUGUAUAGUUGAAUUUAAAAAGCUGGUAAAAAUGCUACUAUAAUAUAAAAAGAUGAGAAGACCCUAUUGAAUUUUAUAUUCAUAUCUAGGGAAUAUUAGUUUAUUAUUUGAUUUAUAAUAUUUGAUUGGGGCGUUAUUUAAAUUAAACAAAGUAUAUUUUAAAGGUUGAUUUUUUGAUUCAUUAUUAAUGAUUAAUAGAAUAAAUUACCAUAGGAAUAACGGCAUAAUUUAAUUGGAGAGUUCUUAUUGAUAAUUGAGUUUGUGACAUCAAUGAUGGAUUAAGAUUCCUUCUAGGUGCAGGUGCUUGGAAAGGUAGACUGUUCGUCUAUUAAAAUCUUACAUGCUCUGAGUUCAGACCGGCGUAACAGGUUGGUUUUU
This 554-nucleotide ribosomal RNA is filed under the name Scolopendra subspinipes. RNAcentral's name for it is "partial large subunit ribosomal RNA". It matches the Rfam family "Bacterial large subunit ribosomal RNA", at positions 1783 to 2639 of the family's 2925-position model. The record is from RNAcentral. Lineage: Eukaryota; Metazoa; Arthropoda; Chilopoda; Scolopendromorpha; Scolopendridae.